Molecule: unclassified non-coding RNA, 229 nt
Filed under: Hevea brasiliensis (rubber tree)
Lineage: Eukaryota; Viridiplantae; Streptophyta; Magnoliopsida; Malpighiales; Euphorbiaceae
Source: RNAcentral
ACCUCUUCCUCUUCCACGCCCAACACCAGGUGGCUUCCUAUCUAAGCGAGACUUUGUGGUUUCUUCCUGAACCUUAUCGAUCACCUCAUCUGGAACCCGGAGAUACUUGAUGGUAUUCCCACGUAUGUAACACUCAGGCAUCCUCCAGAAUCUAUCUCCAUCCUUUGAGGUACAGAUCACCUCACGGAGAUGAAUGUUCAUCCACGUAUCACAAUUCACCAGAUGCCCG